This 991-nucleotide ribosomal RNA is filed under the name Psychrobacter celer. Its description in RNAcentral is "bacterial SSU rRNA". It matches the Rfam family "Bacterial small subunit ribosomal RNA", at positions 61 to 1046 of the family's 1533-position model. Lineage: Bacteria; Pseudomonadati; Pseudomonadota; Gammaproteobacteria; Moraxellales; Moraxellaceae. The record is from RNAcentral.
GUCGAGCGGAACGAUGGGAGCUUGCUCCCAGGCGUCGAGCGGCGGACGGGUGAGUAACACUUAGGAAUCUACCUAGUAGUGGGGGAUAGCUCGGGGAAACUCGAAUUAAUACCGCAUACGACCUACGGGAGAAAGGGGGCAGUUUACUGCUCUCGCUAUUAGAUGAGCCUAAGUCGGAUUAGCUAGAUGGUGGGGUAAAGGCCUACCAUGGCGACGAUCUGUAGCUGGUCUGAGAGGAUGAUCAGCCACACCGGGACUGAGACACGGCCCGGACUCCUACGGGAGGCAGCAGUGGGGAAUAUUGGACAAUGGGGGGAACCCUGAUCCAGCCAUGCCGCGUGUGUGAAGAAGGCCUUUUGGUUGUAAAGCACUUUAAGCAGUGAAGAAGACCUAACGGUUAAUACCCGUUAGCGAUGACAUUAGCUGCAGAAUAAGCACCGGCUAACUCUGUGCCAGCAGCCGCGGUAAUACAGAGGGUGCAAGCGUUAAUCGGAAUUACUGGGCGUAAAGCGAGCGUAGGUGGCUUGAUAAGUCAGAUGUGAAAUCCCCGGGCUUAACCUGGGAACUGCAUCUGAUACUGUUAAGCUAGAGUAGGUGAGAGGGAAGUAGAAUUCCAGGUGUAGCGGUGAAAUGCGUAGAGAUCUGGAGGAAUACCGAUGGCGAAGGCAGCUUCCUGGCAUCAUACUGACACUGAGGCUCGAAAGCGUGGGUAGCAAACAGGAUUAGAUACCCUGGUAGUCCACGCCGUAAACGAUGUCUACUAGUCGUUGGGUCCCUUGAGGACUUAGUGACGCAGCUAACGCAAUAAGUAGACCGCCUGGGGAGUACGGCCGCAAGGUUAAAACUCAAAUGAAUUGACGGGGGCCCGCACAAGCGGUGGAGCAUGUGGUUUAAUUCGAUGCAACGCGAAGAACCUUACCUGGUCUUGACAUACACAGAAUCUUGUAGAGAUACGAGAGUGCCUUCGGGAAUUGUGAUACAGGUGCUGCAU